GGAUUCAGCGGCGGACGGGUGAGUAAUGCCUAGGAAUCUGCCUGGUAGUGGGGGACAACGUUUCGAAAGGAACGCUAAUACCGCAUACGUCCUACGGGAGAAAGCAGGGGACCUUCGGGCCUUGCGCUAUCAGAUGAGCCUAGGUCGGAUUAGCUAGUUGGUGAGGUAAUGGCUCACCAAGGCGACGAUCCGUAACUGGUCUGAGAGGAUGAUCAGUCACACUGGAACUGAGACACGGUCCAGACUCCUACGGGAGGCAGCAGUGGGGAAUAUUGGACAAUGGGCGAAAGCCUGAUCCAGCCAUGCCGCGUGUGUGAAGAAGGUCUUCGGAUUGUAAAGCACUUUAAGUUGGGAGGAAGGGUUGUAGAUUAAUACUCUGCAAUUUUGACGUUACCGACAGAAUAAGCACCGGCUAACUCUGUGCCAGCAGCCGCGGUAAUACAGAGGGUGCAAGCGUUAAUCGGAAUUACUGGGCGUAAAGCGCGCGUAGGUGGUUUGUU
This 500-nucleotide ribosomal RNA is filed under the name Pseudomonas vancouverensis. RNAcentral describes it as "bacterial SSU rRNA". It matches the Rfam family "Bacterial small subunit ribosomal RNA", at positions 88 to 584 of the family's 1533-position model. The record is from RNAcentral. Lineage: Bacteria; Pseudomonadati; Pseudomonadota; Gammaproteobacteria; Pseudomonadales; Pseudomonadaceae.